GGACGGCAGAAUGGGCGCGUGGGUCCUCGACCACCAUGACUCCUCGUGUUUCGCAUGAGACUUGCGUGUAGCGGGGGUUUAGCACAAGACCAUGGCCACGUGGUAUAGCACGUGGGGCGCUGUUACCAUUUUGCUGGUUAUAUAAGGGAGGCAAUUAUCAAAGGGAACUACAUCUAGUUCUUUUCCUCUCCCAUCUCCUUCUUCCUCGCAUUCGCUUUACCAUUGCCAAGUAAGGUUCGCGCACAGAUUUUUUUCCUCCCGCACUUCCAGCCAAGCCGAAGCCGAAUCCAGACAUACUGAGAUAAAUCGAAGCAUGUUGGUCCCCUAUGUGAGAGAGACAUUUGAGAAGAAAGAUGACACACUUUUGUUUCGGUCAUCACACAUGUUGAAGAAGAAGAUAUAAUGUGGCUAACAUCAAAAGGAAUGGAACCUCGUGAAAUACUACUCCGCUGCUGCCGCCGCCGCGAGCCCUCGACCCCAACGGCAAGCGCAGGGCACCUACGCCGCCCCAGCCGAUGCAAACCACCUCGCCGGCGCCAUCACCAGAGCGGCGGGAGUGUUGGUGCUCUGCCGGCCGACAGAGCCGAGCUUCGAGCUCAUCUCCACGAGCUUGUCCGCCUUCCACUUCCGGCCGCCGGCGGCGCUGGACAUCGGCCUCACCCUCACCGUCAACGCCACCAGCCCUAGUGUGGUGCCCGUGCGCUACGGCGCCUCCAAUGUCUCCAUCCUCCACGUUGGUGCGCUCCUCGGCACCGCGCGCCUCGACGCCGGCCAGCAGCCCGUGAGAUCGGAGGAGUUGUGGCGGUGAGGAGAAGAAGAUAUUUCAGACAGAAGAGCGCCCGGGGCAGGCGGCCGUGGGGUUCGAUCUGAGAGGAUAAAGGGGAGAGCGGCGGUGCUGCGUACGUUGUUGGCGGUGAAUCGGCACUGCUCGAGGAGCUUCAUGGAAGAUUCGUACCCAAGCGCUGGUUCACAACCACCUGUAAAAUACUGGUUAUUUUAGUAGACCAGUAAAAUACGCCUGUAUGUUUUUUGCGGAUGUAUUAGUUUACACCUAUUCCAAUCGGGGCCUUAGCGGUUCCCUCCUUCUGCAACGCACAUACGCCUUUUUCUGUUCUGUGUUGACCUAUCGACGUGGUCUCCAGGUCAGGUGUUGUUGGACCCCGUCGAUCAGGUCAAGAUGCUCCGACGGAUUGUCCUAUGGCGUGGUAAAAUGCAAGGCCUACAUGGCAUAUCAUUUUAGCCUACUAUGGGGCAGCACGCCAGGUCGAUGCCUGUGCAUGCGGGAGUCCAAAGCUACGUAUGUUUGGAUCUCACUACAUGAGAGAACUAGCUAUCGCAGGCACUGAGAGGAUCUUGUCAAAGUCUUAAGCUAGAGGGUGGCCAGGUUUGCUCGGAUCUCUUGACUGCAUGAAUAGCGGAUGGAAGAACUGUCAAAAAGGUUUUCAAAGGAAAUAUUAGGGUCAUGUUAAGAAGUCCAUCAUCAUUCUUGAAGCAGUUGGAUCACAAGAUCUUUGGAUUUGGCAUGCUUUCUUUGGCAUGUCGGGUCUCACAAUGACAUCAAACUGUUGAAACGAUCGCCAUUUUUUGCUAUACUGACUGAAGGGAAAGCUCCUCAUUGUCACUACACUGUCAAUGUGUAUGAAUACAAGUGGGCUACUAUCUGUUUGACAGUAUAUAUCCUUUGUGGACUAAACUUUGCGAAGACCAUCUCUGACCCACUUGGACAGGAAAAAUCACACUUUGCUCAAAGACAAGAAGCAGCUAGGAAGGAUGUCCAGAGGGCAUUUGGAGUUUUGCAAGCACGUUUUGCAGUUGUUCGUGGACCUGCUAAAUAUUGGGAUCCGGAUACCUUGUGGGAGGUGAUGACAUGUUGUGUGAUCAUGCACAACAUAAUCGUGGAGGAUGAGGGUAAGGAUGUGGCCGCAGCUCUUGAAUUUGGGAACAUGGGUGAUCCUAUUAAACUUCCAAAGCAUAAUCCGAACACAUUUGAUGAGUUUGUUCACAUACAUCAAUAAAUUCGGCAUCGUGCAGCUCAUGAGCAACUGAUAGAAGAUUUGAUUGACCAUCUCUGGGAGGUUCAAGGGGACAACUGGUACAUAUGUGCUAGUUAAAUUCAAGUUUUAACUAUUACAACUUGAAUACUUUAUUGGAUAUUGGAUUGAAUUAUCUAAAUUAGAACUACUGUUGCAUUUGAACAUUUGUAGCUGGAACAAGAUAUGCGCCUAUUUUGAGCGUGCUGACUUAGAAAAACAGGUGAUGGAUGUAUCUAGCUAGAUUUGGAUGGCCGACUUUUAUCAGUAUCCGUGGACUGGUCCCAUUCGGUUCGCGGAUGGAUUCGAUGUCUGAUUUGUAAGUCAAUAUUGGAGAUGCCCUAAGGCCUGGCACAACACGGUGUAAAGUACCAUCUAAAGUGAAGCAAUCGCCUUCUCGGUCAAAGCUAGCAUGCCCACGCACGGUCCCAUUGCCGGCCUUGCCAUCCCAGGCGGCGCCUGCCCACCCGACGCCGUCGGGGGCGUUGGCAGAUGAGCGGCUGUUUCGGUCAAAGCAGCUCCCCAUGGUCGCCGUCCGCGUGGCGUCGGCAGCUCUCUUAGCCCUGCCUGAAAAAACGACAUGUGGCCCGAAAAACCGCCCCGAGCCGCUAUAUCUACCGGCCGGAUCGCGAUUUAGGAUUGCCUUGCUUUAUUUCCUCCGUCGCCUCCCAUUUCGUCCACCUCCUCCCUUUCUAAACUCUCGCGAGUGAUUCCCUCUGGAGGCCAGCUUUUUUCGGGUGCGCGAUGGCUGGAUCCGGACACGGGCGUGGAGGCCGUGGCCGUGGCGGGUCACCGCCGCGCAAGAUCUUGCACGUCGACACGGAGGCCAGUAGCUCGCUUUUCGCCCCCGUUGAACCUUGGCAGUCAGAGCAGGCGUGGCAGCGCGUCCUCCUCUCCCAUAGCGGUGGGCAGUCAGCUUGGCCCCACUUCAACAGGCUCCACGAGGAGCUCUACCGGCAGACCCUGUCUUGCCGCAACGCGGAGAUGGAGUUCCUUGCCGGGGCGAGCGCCGUCGAGGCCGGAGAACCAGGGGCCGUUGAGAGGCUUGCCGCGGCGAAGGAGGAGCGCGCCUUCGUCAAUGCUUGCCGCCGCUCGGCAGAGGUGUUCUUCCUUGGAGUCAAGGACUGAGCCGCUGCCGUCACCCCUCUUGGUAGAUCUAUGUUUUUAUCUGUAUUUUCUAUGUAUGUGUGAUGAACUCCGAUGUGUUGUGUGAUGAGCUAUGUAGUGGGAAGAACGUUUUAUCCAAGUUUUUAAAUUUA
Triticum aestivum (bread wheat) is the source of this 3289-nucleotide long non-coding RNA. RefSeq lists it as uncharacterized. The record is from RefSeq and is a predicted model, not a curated record. Lineage: Eukaryota; Viridiplantae; Streptophyta; Magnoliopsida; Poales; Poaceae. The transcript has 3 exons.